CGGAAAGCCUGAUGCAGCGACGCGCGUGAGGGAUGAAGGCCUUCGGGUUGUAAACCUCUUUCAGCAGGGAGAAGCGCAAGUGACGGUACCUGCAGAAGAAGCACCGGCUAACUACGUGCCAGCAGCCGCGGUAAUACGUAGGGUGCGAGCGUUGUCCGGAAUUAUUGGGCGUAAAGAGCUUGUAGGCGGUUUGUCGCGUCUGCCGUGAAAAUCCGGGGCUCAACCCCGGACUUGCGGUGGGUACGGGCAGACUAGAGUGUGGUAGGGGAGACUGGAAUUCCUGGUGUAGCGGUGAAAUGCGCAGAUAUCAGGAGGAACACCGAUGGCGAAGGCAGGUCUCUGGGCCACUACUGACGCUGAGAAGCGGAAGCGUGGGGAGCGAACGGGAUUAGAUACCCUGGUAGUCCACGCCGUAAACGUUGGGAACUAGGUGUGGGUCUCAUUCCACGAGAUCUGUGCCGCAGCUAACGCAUUAAGUUCCCCGCCUGGGGAGUACGGCCGCAAGGCUA
RNAcentral lists this ribosomal RNA (509 nucleotides) under uncultured Actinomycetes bacterium. RNAcentral's name for it is "bacterial SSU rRNA". It matches the Rfam family "Bacterial small subunit ribosomal RNA", at positions 376 to 896 of the family's 1533-position model. The record is from RNAcentral. Lineage: Bacteria; Bacillati; Actinomycetota; Actinomycetes.